Molecule: long non-coding RNA, 1573 nt
Filed under: Nicotiana tabacum (common tobacco)
Lineage: Eukaryota; Viridiplantae; Streptophyta; Magnoliopsida; Solanales; Solanaceae
Description: long non-coding RNA (NTAB_LNC003596)
Source: RNAcentral
CCUGGCCAGAGUAUUAAAAUCGAGGGUUCCGUGAUUUUUUUCAUUUUGAACAUUCCAACCUCGAGAUUAGGCGAUUUGUGAGAGGGAUUUCCAAGGGAUUCUUGAGGUAAGUCACUUGUGGUUAAAUUUAUUCAAUAAUUAUGUUUCCCCUUUGAAUUUCCCAUCUAGAUUGUAUGGUUUUGAGGUGUAAUUUUGGGAGUUGAAGCUAGGGAUUUGGAGAGUGUAAAUUGGCGAUUUGGGUAUCGAAUUGGUAUUGAAUUUUGAUAAAUUUGGUAUGGUUAGACUCGUGGUUGGAUGGGCUUUUAGAUUUUAUAAAUUUUAUUGGAUUUCGAGACGUGGGCCCGGGAGGCGACUUUUGAGUUGACUUUUAGACUUUUGAUUAAGAACUUAGUAUUUUCUUAUGGAAUUGAUUCUUUUAGCACGUGUUGAUUGUAUCGAACUGUUUGUGGCUAGAUUCGAGGAAUUCAGAGGCCGUUUCGCGAGGCAAGGGCGUGUUGGAAUAAGGAUUUGUACGGUUUGAGGUAAGUAACACUUCUAAACUUGAUUGUGGGGUAAAAAAACCCCAAAUUUCGUAUUAUAUGAUUGGUGUUGAAGUGACGCAUGUGCUAGGUGGCGGGCAUGUAGGAGUGAUACGUAAGAAUUGUGACUUGGUCAAUUCCAUGAAAUUAAAUAGUUGAUUAAUCUUGCAGUUACCCGUAUUUUUACCAUAUGUUAGAGCUAUUGAGCUGUCGGUCAUGUUAGAAAUCAUGUGCUUAGGCUGCAUGUUGGUACUGUUGGCCCCUCAGAGGUCGUGUUACAUGUUGAAUCAUUUUCUCUAAUUGCCAUUUGUAUUCGAUCACAGCUAUUAUUUGCAUAUUAUGUCUCAGUCUCUAUUGUCAUUUACAUGAUACAUCAUAUCAUUAUUGUUUGGGAUGAAUAACAUGAUUCUGGUGAACCCGAGAGACUGGAGAGAUUGGUGACUGUGUGAGACUGAGAGUCUAAUGUGAGUUAUCUUUAUGGGACCGGGCUGCACGCCAUAUCAUGCUUUAUUGAUUCAUGCCAGGAUUUGUCUUAUUAUAGCGAUUUGGCUGGAUUGGCUCCUCCGGAGUCUGCGCAUCCACAGUGGGCGCAAUUUCUAGCAGUUAUUUAUAUUUUAGCUGGAUCUGCCGUGGUUUAUUUGCAUUUGGGCUGGAUCUGCCCUGUUUUACUUGUAUUUGGGCUGGAUCUGCCCUGUUAUGUGUUGAGUUUUAUUGUAAAUCUGAAAGCAUGUCUAAAUUCUUGUAUCUCUACAUGUUAAAUUAUGAAUUUCUGAGUUAUCACUGUCAUAUUUUUUGUAACUUUCCGUACUGUUAAAUGUUUAAAGUGGGCCGUAAUAUGUGAACUCGUCACUACUUUCAGUCCAAAGAUUAGAUUUGUUACUUAUUAAGUUGGUUGUACUCACGCUACACCCUGCACCUAGUGUGCAGAUCCAGGCAAUUCGGGUCACGGCGGUUGCUGAUUUGCUGAGUCCAGACCUUCGGAGAUCAUCAAGGUAGCUGCUUGGCGUCCGCAGACCUUGACUCUCCUCCCUUGUCUUUCUGUUUAAGAUAAAGUC